UUUUCCCUGCCUUACUUUCUUCCAAUCCCUGUCUUCAGGAUCACUCCAAGCUGUGUUGCUUCAGAGAGAAGUUGCUAAGAAGGCUUCUGUUGCAAAUGGCACAAGCUGAAUGUUUCCCAGUGCCAGGCAAUCCCUCACCCAAGACAACUUGUACAGGCCCUUCACAUCCUCUUGGUGCUUUUUCAACACAGCAGCUGUACAGGCUGACUUCUGUCAAUCUGUGUUUUCCAAAGCACCAUCUAUUGAAAAGUCUCUUAUUUCUCCAUUAAAUUUUUUGGCACCUUCAUUGAAAAUCAGUCGAGCAUAAAUAUCAUUGACUUAUCUUCCAUGACUUAGUUUUCUCCAUUUCCGUUGAUGGCAAUUCCACCCUUCUGGUGUGCAGCUUUCUCUGGCAUCAACAACAAAACCAUUCACUGGAAGAACACCGCCAGUUACCGGCUUACUUAUAAGCAAAGUGGCACUAA
Molecule: long non-coding RNA, 464 nt
Filed under: Homo sapiens (human)
Lineage: Eukaryota; Metazoa; Chordata; Mammalia; Primates; Hominidae
Description: HSALNT0069215
Source: RNAcentral